CGUUGUACGCUGUUUGCCGCCCACUUCCGGGGUAUGCAGCCUCGCAUAGUUCCAAAAAGCCAUUCUAUGGCGUCGGACAUCAUUCACUUCCAUUGCUGACUCCCGAGUAACUUCUGAGAUCUUGCUGGACCAGCAGUAUCGUUGUUGUGGCCAUCACAGGUUUCAGUGGAGCGCCCCCCCCCCCCCCCC
Fundulus heteroclitus (mummichog) is the source of this 189-nucleotide long non-coding RNA. RefSeq lists it as uncharacterized. Lineage: Eukaryota; Metazoa; Chordata; Actinopteri; Cyprinodontiformes; Fundulidae. The transcript has 2 exons. The record is from RefSeq and is a predicted model, not a curated record.